RNAcentral lists this ribosomal RNA (950 nucleotides) under uncultured archaeon. RNAcentral describes it as "bacterial SSU rRNA". It matches the Rfam family "Archaeal small subunit ribosomal RNA", at positions 1 to 942 of the family's 1478-position model. The record is from RNAcentral.
UUCCGGUUGAUCCCGCCGGACCCGACUGCUAUUUGGGUGAGAAUAAGCCAUGCGAGUUGAAUGGGAUACCUAAAGUUCCCAUAGCAAACUGCUCAGUAACACAUGAUCAACUUACCCUAUAGAGAAAAAUAACCUCGGGAAACUGAGGAUAAUAUUUCAUAAUUGAAUUGGCUUGGAAAAGUUUUUCAAUGAAAAGGAUAAAAAAAAUGGUUUUUAUCUGCUAUAGGAUAGGAUCGUGUUCGAUUAUGGUUGUUGGUGAGAUAAUGGCUCACCAAGCCGAUAAUCGAUAGGGGCCGUGAGAGCGGGAGCCCCGAGAUGGGUACUGAGACAACGACCCAGGCCUUACGAGGCGCAGCAGGCGCGGAACCUCCGCAAUACACGAAAGUGUGACGGGGUUACCCAAAGUGUUCAAUAGAACUGUGGUAGGUGAGUAAUGUUCCCUACUAGAAAGGAGAGGGCAAGGCUGGUGCCAGCCGCCGCGGUAAAACCAGCUCUUCAAGUGGUCGGGAUAAUUAUUGGGCUUAAAGUGUCCGUAGCCGGUUUAGCAAGUUCCUGGUAAAAUCAGGUAGCUUAACUAUCUGCAUGCUAGGAAUACUGCUAUACUAGAGGGCGGGAGAGGUCUGAGGUACUACAGGGGUAGGGGUGAAAUCUUAUAAUCCUUGUAGGACCACCAGUGGCGAAGGCGUCAGACUGGAACGCGCCUGACGGUGAGGGACGAAAGCCAGGGGAGCGAACCGGAUUAGAUACCCGGGUAGUCCUGGCCGUAAACGAUGCAUACUAGGUGAUGGUACGGCCAUGAGCCGUAUCAGUGCCGUAGGGAAACCGUUAAGUGUGCCGCCUGGGAAGUACGGUCGCAAGGCUAAAACUUAAAGGAAUUGGCGGGGGAGCACCACAAGGGUGAAGCCUGCGGUUCAUUGGAUUCAACGCCCGGAAAUCACUAGUGCGGCCGC